This is a long non-coding RNA of Oncorhynchus tshawytscha (Chinook salmon), 1230 nucleotides long. Lineage: Eukaryota; Metazoa; Chordata; Actinopteri; Salmoniformes; Salmonidae. The record is from Ensembl.
AGGGAACAGGGGACACAGCCUUUUUAGGGGGGUGAAGUGGCUUUAUGGGAAUAACAUGUAAGAGUCACAUACCACUAUUAGACUGAACGAUAAAUGUUGAAGUCAUAGCAACAGAUUGGCUACGUGAAGCGACGACCUCUGGAAGCUGAAAAAGUCAACGGUAGUCAGGGAAACCAAUUCAGCUGCGCAAUUGAGAACAGUCUUCUUCGCUUAAACCAAAUCCCUCGAAAAUCAGAGAGGUGCCCUAUAACGUUAUCGACGCAGCUGUUGUUCGGGGUUAACUGCCUUACUCAAGGGGAGAACGGCAGAUUUACCACCAUGCAGGCUCGGGUGUUCAAGCCAGCGACCUUUCGAUGACUGACCUAACGCGCUUUACCGCUAAACUACCUGCCGACUGAAUCAAACAGGUGAGCUUGCCUUGCUGUGUUUCAUGGUGCCUAGGAGACUUCUACCAUGUACGGGAGGAGCCUUGGCCGGUAAUUAGCGCGGAGUGGUGAUGACGGUAAUGAAGCAGUGUCCGGUGUCACCGUGGCUUGGUGCGUGACAGACCGGGAAGAACACCGUCCUCUCGCUCAGCACUCUGGUUUUGUUGCUGCGCCGCUUUCAUGUAGAAACACCGCCAUCUGCUGGCCGAAAACAGAAAACACCAAACUUUCUUUACAAUGUGACCAAAGUCCCCCAUAAAAUAUUUUGAAGUUCACAAAACAGGCUUUAGCUGCAACACAAGAUUGACCACAUCCCAGAUUUCCCACAAGGGCCUAAUUUCCCAAGCCCACAGAGAGCACCAUCAACACAGACUUUUAAGUCUUUCAGUCAAAUAAAUCUUAAGUUAAGGUGAAAUAUAUAUAUAAAUAUAAAUAUAUAUUUUAAGUCUUUCAGUCAAAGAGGAUGAUGGACGGAAGGGUUUUGACGUAACGUUGAGGAUGGACAGGGUUUGGUGUAACUCUGAGGAGGGAAGGGGUUUGGUGUAACUCUGAGGAGGGAAGGGGUUUGGUGUAACACUGAGGAGGGAAGGGUUUUGGUGUAACUCUGAGGAGGGAAGGGUUUUGGUGUAACUCUGAGGAGCGAAGGGGUUUGGUGUAACUCUGAGGAGGGAAGGGGAGUGGUUUGGUGUAACACUGAGGAAGUAAGGGGUUUGGUGUAACACUGAGGAGGGAAGGGGUUUGGUAUAACUCUGAGGAGGGAGGGAAAGGGGUUUGGUGUAACACUGAGGAGGGAAGGGGUUUGGUG